UCCCUAGAACUGAUUUCCUCUAAGACCUUCAAGGAGGAUUCUGAGUCCUGGCUUUGCAAUAGGAAUCCGGAAAUUUUUGCAAACCUGAGGUCUUGUGCUACCAAGCUCCCAGGCCUGUGUGAAGAAGGCCAGUGUCUCAGACACGGCUGCAUCGCCAAGCGUUGUCGCUGCUGGAACCUCUGGAACCCAAACCCAUGGCCACAUCCUCUCCUGAACCACAGACCACAGACCCGCCAGUUUCCGGCCAUCAGCUAGUCCACAAAAAUCUCGAGUUGAGUGAAAGCGUGUCAAACCCGAGAUGUUGCAGAUACCAGUAGUAUGUUAUUGAGACACUUCAUUGUCCUAGCACUAUCACUCAAAUAAGAACCAAAAAGGAACAAGCUAGUGGUUAUAUGACUGCGUUUUUGCUAGCUGUUGGGGAGAUUUUUGUCCUUUGUAAUUUGUAUAAUUGUAAAGUUCCCUGUAGAGAAGAAAAUACAAUAGUAAAAGUAUAUUUAAAAUGUUAAUAAAAUGCUAUUACUUGCA
Long non-coding RNA from Gymnogyps californianus (California condor), 525 nucleotides. RefSeq lists it as uncharacterized. The transcript has 2 exons. NCBI's taxonomy places the organism in Eukaryota, Metazoa, Chordata, Aves, Accipitriformes, Cathartidae. The record is from RefSeq and is a predicted model, not a curated record.